This 69-nucleotide transfer RNA is filed under the name Bos taurus (domestic cattle). It matches the Rfam family "tRNA". From Rfam's summary of the family: Transfer RNA (tRNA) molecules are approximately 80 nucleotides in length. The record is from Rfam by way of RNAcentral. Lineage: Eukaryota; Metazoa; Chordata; Mammalia; Artiodactyla; Bovidae.
CCUGGUAGCUCAGACUGUAAAGAAUCUGCCUGCAAAGCAGGAGAUCUGGGUUCAAUCCCUGUGUUGGGA